This 20-nucleotide non-coding RNA is filed under the name Rattus norvegicus (Norway rat). Lineage: Eukaryota; Metazoa; Chordata; Mammalia; Rodentia; Muridae. The record is from RNAcentral.
ACCUGAAGCGGGGCCAUUCC